CCUACGGGGGGCAGCAGUGGGGAAUAUUGCACAAUGGGGGAAACCCUGAUGCAGCGACGCCGCGUGAGUGAAGAAGUAAUUCGGUAUGUAAAGCUCUAUCAGCAGGGAAGAAAAUGACGGUACCUGAGUAAGAAGCCCCGGCUAACUACGUGCCAGCAGCCGCGGUAAUACGUAGGGGUCAAGCGUUAUCCGGAUUUACUGGGUGUAAAGGGAGCGUAGACGGCAGUGCAAGUCUGGAGGGAAAGGCGGGGGCUUAACCCCCGGACUGCUCUGGAAACUGUACGGCUGGAGUGCAGGAGAGGUAAGUGGAAUUCCUAGUGUAGCGGUGAAAUGCGUAGAUAUUAGGAGGAACACCAGUGGCGAAGGCGGCUUACUGGACUGUAACUGACGCUGAGGCUCGAAAGCGUGGGGAGCAAACAGGAUUAGAUACCCGAGUAGUC
Molecule: ribosomal RNA, 440 nt
Filed under: uncultured bacterium
Lineage: Bacteria
Description: partial 16S ribosomal RNA
Rfam family: Bacterial small subunit ribosomal RNA
Source: RNAcentral